This 482-nucleotide ribosomal RNA is filed under the name uncultured bacterium. RNAcentral's name for it is "bacterial SSU rRNA". It matches the Rfam family "Bacterial small subunit ribosomal RNA", at positions 329 to 803 of the family's 1533-position model. The record is from RNAcentral.
UGGCUAACUCCUACGGGAGGCAGCAGUGGGUAAUAUUGGACAAUGGGCGCAAGCCUGAUCCAGCCAUGCCGCGUGUGUGAAGAAGGCCUUUUGGUUGUAAAGCACUUUAAGCGAGGAGGAGGCUACCUGUAUUAAUACUAUAGGAUAGUGGACGUUACUCGCAGAAUAAGCACCGGCUAACUCUGUGCCAGCAGCCGCGGUAAUACAGAGGGUGCGAGCGUUAAUCGGAAUUACUGGGCGUAAAGCGCGCGUAGGCGGUUUGUUAAGUCGGAUGUGAAAUCCCCGGGCUCAACCUGGGAAUUGCAUUCGAUACUGGCAAGCUAGAGUAUGGGAGAGGAAGGUAGAAUUCCAGGUGUAGCGGUGAAAUGCGUAGAGAUCUGGAGGAAUACCGAUGGCGAAGGCAGCCUUCUGGCCUAAUACUGACGCUGAGGUGCGAAAGCAUGGGGAGCAAACAGGAUUAGAAACCCCUGUAGUCCAGCUGG